GCGCAGCAGGCGCGAAACUUUACAAUGUGCGAAGCACGAUAAGGAACUCUGAGUGCCUCCUAAGGAGGCUGUUCAGGUGUCUAAAAGCACCUGAAGGAGGGGCUAGGUAAGACCGGUGCCAGCCGCCGCGGUAACACCGGCAGCCCAAGUGGUAGCCACGUUUAUUGGGUCUAAAGCGUCCGUAGCCGGCUGGGGUAAGUUCCUUGGGAAAUUUGGCUGCUUAACAGUCAAGCUUUCAGGGAAUACUGCCCGGCUUGGGACCGGGAGAGGUCAGAGGUACUCCAGGGGUAGGGUGAAAUCCAUUAAUCCUUGGGGGACCACCGGUAGCGAAGGCGUCUGACCAGACCGGGUCCGACGGUGAGGGACGAAGGCUAGGGGCGCGAACCGGAUUAGAUACCCCUGUAGU
RNAcentral lists this ribosomal RNA (406 nucleotides) under uncultured microorganism. RNAcentral describes it as "bacterial SSU rRNA". It matches the Rfam family "Archaeal small subunit ribosomal RNA", at positions 330 to 745 of the family's 1478-position model. The record is from RNAcentral.